This 244-nucleotide long non-coding RNA is filed under the name Oryza brachyantha (malo sina). RNAcentral's name for it is "long non-coding RNA (OBRA_LNC002372)". The record is from RNAcentral. Lineage: Eukaryota; Viridiplantae; Streptophyta; Magnoliopsida; Poales; Poaceae.
UCCAGAUUUGCCAUUAUGCAGCUCUUUGCACCCUACUAGCUUGGCUUGCUCCUAUGGGCCUCCCCUGUCCCCACACCUUAAACUUUUGAAUAUUUUCUGGGUACUUUAUUCAUAGUGGUUAAGGGGGAAUAGAUCAUGGGUGCCACGUAAAUAAGAGGCCAUCUUUUGGCCUUUUUUGAGAAAAAAAAGUAAAAUAACAUAUUUGUGAAUAAAAAAUAAAUGUGUUCCUAUCUAGCAAUGUAAA